ACAGCACGCCGGACACGCCCAGUCCCUCCGGAGGGCGCGCACAGCAAGCAGGGCAGGUCCAGUCCUUCCAGAGGAGACGCACAGCAUGCCGGGCAUGAGCAGGCUCCUGUUCUUGGGAACAAACCAUCUGGAGAAAGAGCUGGAAUGGAGCCCAUCAGUGCUAAGCCUCCAGUGGUGCUUCACUGCUUCAGGAGGAUGCAUGGCUCAGCAGGACACACAGGGCUCAGCAGGUCACAGCCAUAGAUUCUCACGGGCAAAGACGAGAAGAUGGAUAAACAAGGAUUUGCCAAGGAGAAGAGGAUAAUGUCAUAUUUUCUCCCUCAUUGUGUCUGGAUGGGAUUGGAAAGUCUCCCUGGCCCACAUAGGAGCAUCAUAGAGUGAACCUACGUAAACCCAGAUGGCAGAGGCUCCAGCACACCUGGGCUCUGGUGUACCCUGUUGCUCCUGGCUACAAACCCAGGCAGCCUGGGGCUGUACUGAAUACUGCAGGCAAUUUGCAACACAAUG
Long non-coding RNA from Gorilla gorilla gorilla (western lowland gorilla), 507 nucleotides. RefSeq lists it as uncharacterized. NCBI's taxonomy places the organism in Eukaryota, Metazoa, Chordata, Mammalia, Primates, Hominidae. The transcript has 5 exons. The record is from RefSeq and is a predicted model, not a curated record.